RNAcentral lists this ribosomal RNA (411 nucleotides) under uncultured bacterium. RNAcentral describes it as "bacterial SSU rRNA". It matches the Rfam family "Bacterial small subunit ribosomal RNA", at positions 329 to 757 of the family's 1533-position model. The record is from RNAcentral.
GUCCAGACUCCUACGGGAGGCAGCAGUGGGGAAUAUUGCACAAUGGGGGAAACCCUGAUGCAGCGACGCCGCGUGAGUGAAGAAGUAUCUCGGUACGUAAAGCUCUAUCAGCAGGGAAGAUAAUGACGGUACCUGACCAAGAAGCCCCGGCUAACUACGUGCCAGCAGCCGCGGUAAUACGUAGGGGGCAAGCGUUAUCCGGAUUUACUGGGUGUAAAGGGAGCGUAGACGGUGCAGCAAGUCUGAUGUGAAAGGUCGGGGCCCAACCCCGGGACUGCAUUGGAAACUGUUGAACUGGAGUACAGGAGAGGGAAGCAGAACUCCUAGUGUAGCGGUGAAAUGCGUAGAUAUUAGGAGGAACACCAGUGGCGAAGGCGGCUUACCGGACUGUAACUGACGUUGAGGCUCGAA